CCCAGAAUCCUUGGUUAACCUUAGGGAUAAUGAGUGUGUACCUUUGUGUACUUGAUAAGCCGGUAUCGUCAGCACCCGUAUCGAGUCGGCGUUUCCGAUAUUGGUUAAGGAUCAGCCAUGUAGCUGACUUGAAAGUACCGUCACGCUGACUCGUCCCGAACUGCUAUCUGAUGGGUCGAUUGGCGAAUCUGUGUUACGUGAAAGCUAGAUAUCCGAGACUCCGAUUCGAAGCAGCCCACAAGGCCUUUCGGCGCUAAGCUGAAGUCGGUAUCGAACAGGAUAGAUACUAUAGUAGACGCACGUAGACCUAGCCCCGCGGUUUGCGAUAUAACUGGUGAGCGGCCAAGAGAGAUCGUUAAGCAUCCCACCUGGGGAGUACGCCGGCAACGGUGAAACUCAAAGGAAUUGACGGGGGCCCGCACAAGCGGAGGAACAUGUGGUUUAAUUCGAUGAUACGCGAGGAACCUUACCCGGGCUUGAACUGCAGCAGAACGAUUCAGAGAUGAUGAGGCCCUUCGGGGCUGCUGUGGAGGUGCUGCAUGGUUGUCGUCAGCUCGUGCCGUGAGGUGUCGGCUUAAGUGCCAUAACGAGCGCAACCCUUUUCUUUAGUUGCCAUCAGGUAAUGCUGGGCACUCUGGAGAUACUGCCACCGUAAGGUGUGAGGAAGGUGGGGAUGACGUCAAAUCAGCACGGCCCUUACGUCCGGGGCUACACACGUGUUACAAUGGGGGGUACAGAGAGUCGGAUAUACGCAAGUAUGUUCUAAUCCUUAAAGCCUUCCUCAGUUCGGAUUGGGGUCUGCACCCGACCCCAUGAAGCUGGAUUCGCUAGUAAUCGCGCAUCAGCCAUGGCGCGGUGAAUACGUUCCCGG
RNAcentral lists this ribosomal RNA (871 nucleotides) under uncultured rumen bacterium. RNAcentral's name for it is "bacterial SSU rRNA". The stretch from base 209 to 871 matches the Rfam family "Bacterial small subunit ribosomal RNA", at positions 1 to 1377 of the family's 1533-position model. The record is from RNAcentral.